CCGUAGGUGAACCUGCGGAAGGAUCAUUA
RNAcentral lists this non-coding RNA (29 nucleotides) under Leptospira interrogans. Lineage: Bacteria; Pseudomonadati; Spirochaetota; Leptospiria; Leptospirales; Leptospiraceae. RNAcentral also lists the same sequence under 194 other names. The record is from RNAcentral.